GAAUUUAUAAAUGAAUCUCAAGGAAAUGCACUGAACAGUAUUUAUGUGGAGCGUUUAGCGUCGAAUAUUGAAACACUCAACAUCCAACUGGAAGAAAAGUUGAACUUGUUUUCUGAUUUUGAGAGAACUGAAAAGUUGCCGUUAGUGAAUGCCAUUGUUAAGUUGUCAUCCUUAAAAAAACUUGAAAAUUUUGAAUCACUUUUUCAAUCUAUUAAAAAUGAAAAGUCUC
Molecule: long non-coding RNA, 229 nt
Organism: Zophobas morio
Lineage: Eukaryota; Metazoa; Arthropoda; Insecta; Coleoptera; Tenebrionidae
Exons: 3
Source: RefSeq, a predicted model, not a curated record